RNAcentral lists this ribosomal RNA (497 nucleotides) under uncultured bacterium. RNAcentral describes it as "partial 16S ribosomal RNA". It matches the Rfam family "Bacterial small subunit ribosomal RNA", at positions 28 to 523 of the family's 1533-position model. The record is from RNAcentral.
GACGAACGCUGGCGGCGCGCCUAACGCAUGCAAGUCGAACGAAGCGGAAGGAACGAAGUCUUCGGACAGAAUUUUUUCUUGCUUAGUGGCGAACGGGUGAGUAACACGUGAAUAACCUGCCCUUGAGUGGGGGACAACAUUUGGAAACAGAUGCUAAUACCGCAUAAGACCCCGGAACCGCAUGGUUCUGAGGCCAAAGGAGCAAUUCGCCCAAGGAUGGAUUCGCGUCCAAUUAGCUAGAUGGUGAGGUAAAGGCCCACCAUGGCGACGAUUGGUAGCCGGACUGAGAGGUUGAACGGCCACAUUGGGACUGAGACACGGCCCAGACUCCUACGGGAGGCAGCAGUGGGGAAUAUUGCACAAUGGACGAAAGUCUGAUGCAGCGACGCCGCGUGGAGGAAGAAGGUUUUCGGAUUGUAAACUCCUGUCUUCAGGGACGAUAAUGACGGUACCUGAGGAGGAAGCCACGGCUAACUACGUGCCAGCCGCCGCCGUAA